UUGCAAAAAUAAUUAAAGAAGUACUGAAUGCAAUACUGGAAGUAUUACGUUUGUGGGGCACUAAAAUAAGGGCAAUUGUACGGACCAAGGCGAUGUAGGAGUUUACGUUACUCUUAUUUUUACAUUUUCCCGAAACCUUGACCCGGAAGGGCUUUUUUAGUGCUGCUGACGACACACUAAUUACUUUCUGGAUGUACGGUUGUUGUUGCCAUUUCCACAUUUAUUAAUUUUAUUGCAUGUUGAUAUACUGCUGUAUGUUGUUAGAUUUGUUGUUUGUUAUCCAUACAUACAUUUGAUAACAACUUUUCCAUCAUGGACAAACGAGUCAAAGCUUCUGUCAGUACGGGUCCCCCUCUUCCUCUCUCCUCUUUGCGACUAUUGGUUUCUCCCCUGCGGCUGAUGUAUUCAUUUGUAUGGCAUGUGGUGAAUCGACGCAAUGUGAUGCACUAUGGGAAGGUCGAGGAGUUUGUAACUGUGGUGACUGAAGCUGUUCCAAAGUUGCUGAGUUACAAACAGAGGGCUCAACUCAUCCUGGGCCUGAGAGCAAGGAUGAUCUUGGAGAUGUUCCGCAAGGGUUGUCCACCUAACCCUCAGGCCAUCCAAAGUCUCCUGGGAAACAUGAACAUCAGUGCAUCCUCAGGGCAGCAAGAUGUGGAAGUGGAGGAGUCACAGGCUAACUUUGUGUCGCUGGUCCAAACCCUUUUGAAAAACCCUUAUGAGAGGAAGCACUUCUUCCAGGAGGAGUUCUAUACACAGUAUGGCUCGAAGUAUGACACAGCACUGCAGGCCCUUGUGGGAGGCUUGGUUUUCAGACUGGAACAACUGUUAUCUGUGCCAGAUCUCUCCCAGAUAGCAUCUAUGAUCAGUGCUGACCCCUCUGACCUGGAGGAGUGUGGGCAGUCUAUGUCUGACCCUGAGCAGCUGAAGAUCCUCCUCCAUCACCAGAAAUUGCUAAAUAAAACCCAGUUCAACAGAAAUGUACCUCUCACUUCUUCUGUGGGUGACUGUGUGCUGUCCUCACUGUCCUUCCGCCUCGCCUGUGGAAUGCCAUCAAUGGAGCCAGAUUUUGACAAGCCAUCAGAAUCAUUAGAAGCCGCUCUAAGUGUCAUGAACCCUGCCUCCUUCAGUGACCUGGAGGAUUUGGGAAUGAUGUCAGAUGACUCGCCCCAUGCUGGAGAAGAUAGUACUCUGCAGAGAGAAGAGGGUGCCAAGGACAACGGAAGUGGGGCGAAAAAUGCAGUGUGUGAGAGUGAAGAAGACGAUGCACUGCCAGAGAGCCCGUCUAGUCCUCAAGGUGUUAGCGGACUAGUGGGAGGGUCACCAUCAAAAGGGGCACCAACAGUAAGGAGUAUGCUGCCAACAGAGAGACACCAACCGCUUGUAUCACUGAUGAGUAGUUCCUUCACCAAAUCCUCUCCUUCACAGAUAGUCAAAUUAGUCAUCCCUGCCACGGUCACCAUUGGGAACCAACCGGGUAACCCACCGGUCAAAGUAGCGAGUUUCCACCAGUGGGUCUCCCACAUUGCAAGUAACUCGAUCUCGCUCCCUUCCUUGCCACCCCUUCCACAAAACAAUUAUGUAGACCAGGAGAUCCGGUCAGGUGACACAUGUCUUGGAAGCAGUGUGGUAAUUGGGGGUCAGGAAGCAGAAACCAAUCUCUUUGAGAGGGCUGUUAUCCGAAGGAGAUGGGCGCCCAAGCCACAAAGAAUAACGGUACCCUCGAAGAGGAAAAUCCCUGAGGCAACCAUCAUUUGCCAGGAGUGUGGGAAGAGUUUCGUCUAUCCGUCUCAGCUGGAAAAUCACCUCCGCAUUCACACAGGAGAGAAACCGUUCAAGUGCACUGAGUGUGGCAGGGCCUUCAGGUCCUUAGGAGGCAUGACCACUCAUAUGAAAAAUCACUCUGAAGCGCGGCCAUUUAAGUGUGAUGAGUGUGACAAGGGCUUUCGGAAAAAGGCUGACCUGAAGAAGCAUCAGCUCAUCCACAUGGGUGCGAAACCACAUAAAUGCACCAUCUGUGGAAAGGGCUUCAGCCAAGCAUUCUAUUGCAGAAUACACAUCCAGUCUCAUGCAAGUGAAAAUAACUUUCCCUGCACUCAUUGUCCGAAGAGAUUCCCAACCCAAUACAAGCUGUCUGUCCACGAGCGCUGGCACACCAUGGAGCGCCCGUUCAUCUGUGAGCAGUGUGGGAUGCGCUUCUUUCAUCCCAGUGGGCUGAAGAGGCACAUGGGCUAUCACAUUGGGAACCGCCCGUUCCUGUGUGCCCAGUGUGGAAAGACUUUUGUUUAUGAGUUUGACCUGAAGAAACACCAAAGGGACCAUGGCCCCAAGCCCAAGAUCCCAUGCCCUGUCUGCCAGAAGGUGUUUGGCAGCAACGGACUCAUCAAGGCCCACAUGUUUACGCACACCUCUGUAAAACCUUACAGAUGUGACAUAUGCGACAAGACCUUUAAACAGAGCAGCAGCUUGAGCAGUCACAAACGUCUGCACACGGGUGAACGGCCUUACCACUGCGACAUGUGUGGGAAGACGUACAAGCUGAAUCAGCACCUGAAGGAGCACAUAAUUAUCCACCACACGGCGGAAGGGCACCCCUGUGACCAGUGUGGAAAGGUCUUCAAGUUACCACGUCUUCUGAAGGCGCAUGAGCGGUUGCACUCAGGGGAGCGAUCUGAGCAACCAAGGAAAUACAGUCACACCAGCCGUCGCAGGAGAAAUUCCUCCAAAAUGAGUUGAUUUUCUGCACAUUGGCUGCCUUCCACACACACUGACUGGGAUGCUAUUUUUAAUGUCUUGACAAAUUGCCAAUAGCUGUAAUAAUAUUCCUCAUUUUUUGUUGUAGACUUUAGAUUUUGGACCAUUUUGGACCACAAUUCAGGAUAUCCUAAAUAGACUGAACACUGAAAAAUAGUAUAAUGUCUGGCUUAAUUAAUGCAGCAACAAACAUGUCUCCUGUUAGAUAACAAUUCAUGAUUGUGUCAUUAAAACGUAUUUAUUUGUUGUUGUUUUUUUGUAUAGGUUGAAAUUCUAAAGACAUAAGAUGUCAAUUGACAGCUACUCACUAAUCUCUUUCUGAGAGUAGUCAAUGAUUGCCGGAAGCCUUUACAAAAAAUAUGCACAACAUUUGAUGUUGGAUGAAGGCAAAUAGUCACAAUUGUGUGCCACUACUCAUUUGUUUUGCUAUUUUAUUCACAGCAAGGGAAACCAAAUGUAUGCUAGAACGGUUCUGUGUGAUGACUUUUUAUAAUACAUUUAAAGUGUAUUAAGCCACAAAAUAAAAAUUCAUACUCAACCAAAUAUAUACAGAAAAAUUAUGAAAUUUGUGUUUUAAUCUCAAAUGUAAUUUCAAGAAAAGAGCAGCAGGAUUCAAUUGCGGCUCUAAUUCCAGGACGAUAGGUGGCAGUAAUGAUCUUAUGCUGCCAAUCUUAUUGUUAAUAGUCUGGUCAAAACUGUUCUGGUUUUGGUUCCGUUUACAUCUGUUGUCGCCAUUUUCAUAAAUCGUUAGCCAUCCCCAACUUACUAUCUAUCAUGCUAGUUACCUUUACUGUUAGAUUUCUGCCUAUCGUACAUAUUUGGUAACAUUCCGGCAUGGACAAACGAGUCAAGAAGAGGACAGCCAGUACGGCUCCCCCACUUCCUCUCUCCUCUUUGCGACUAUUGGUUUCUCCCCUGCGGCUGAUGUAUUCAUUUGUAUGGCAUGUGGUGAAUCAACGCAAUGUGAUGCACUAUGGGAAGGUCGAGGAGUUUGUAACUGUGGUGACUGAAGCUGUUCCAAAGUUGCUGAGUUACAAACAGAGGGCUCAACUCAUCCUGGGCCUGAGAGCAAGGAUGAUCUUGGAGCUGUUCCGCAAGGACCCACCCAACCUUCAGGACAUCCAACGUCUCCUGGAAAAGAUGAACAUCUUGGGGGUAAGAAUAUUUCUCUCUUGUGUGGAAAUUCCGCCCCAUACCAGGGAACAACUCACACCAGUAACACAGCAUACAAAAAGAUUUAUGUCAAUACCAUUCUCGGACGACUACUUAAAAGAGAGUAACAUUUGCACAUUAGUCUGGUUUGAAAAUAGCCUUUAGCUCUGUGGUGUAAAAAUCUGAGGGUACUGGAUAAGUGUAAACGACAUAAGUGUUAACACCUAGUGGGGGUUGUGGGAGCUUUUGGCCAUCUGUCUUGCUUUGCUGUCACUCAUCUGAUUCCUUAGAUCUGCAAAGGGCAAACAUGGAUGGGGUAAGAGAUAAAAAGUUGUUUUCAGGUUGGACUUAUGACUUCUACAAACCCUGUCACCCCUACACAUCCUGAUUACAGCAGCAAGAUGCAGAAGUGGAGGAGUCGCAGGCUAACUUUGUGGCGCUGGUCCAAACUUUGCUGAAAAACCCUUACGAGAGGAAGCACUUCUUCCAGGUUCAGCACACUUUCUCCCUUUCCUCUCACACUGUCCACUUUGUCAUUUCAAAGACACUGACUUAAACUUAUUGUUUCCUUCCCUGUAGGAGGAGUUCCAUACACAGUAUGGCUCCAAGUAUGACACAGCACUGCAGGCCCUUGUGGGAGGCUUGGUCCUCAAACUGGAACGACUGCUAUCUGUGCCAGAUCUCUCCCAGAUAGCGUCCAUUAUCAGUGCUGCCCCCUCUGACCUGGAGGAGUGUGGACAGUCUGUGUCUGACCCUGAGCACCUGAAGAUCCUCCUCCAGCACCAGAACCUGCUAAAUAAGAAUCAGUUUGUACCUGUCACGACUUCGGUGGGUGACUGUGUGCUGUCCUCGCUGUCCUUCCGCCUCGCUUGUGGAAUGCCAUCAAUGGAGCCGGAUUUUGACGAGCCAUCAGAAUCAUUAGAAGCCGCUCUAAGCGUCAUGAACCCGGCCCCCUUCAGUAACCUCGAGGAUCUGGAAAUGAUGUCAGAUAACUCUGACCGUGCUGGAGAAGAUGAGGAUGUACUGCCAGAGAGUGCCGUGGUCUGCUCUAGUCCUCAAGGUGUUAGCGGACUAGUGGGAGGGGCACCAUCAAAAGGGGCUCCAACAGUAAGGAGUAUGCUGCAAACGAUGAGACAGCAACAGCUUGUAUCACUGAUGAAUACUUCCAUCACUGAAGCCUCUCCUUCACAGAUAGUCAUCCCUGCUACGGAUAACCAGCCGGUCGAGCUAACGAGUGUCGACCAGUGGGUCCCCCAUAUUGCCAGUUACACUUUAUCGCUCCAGUCCUUGCCACCCCUUCCACAAAACGAUCAUUUGGACAAGGAGAUGGAGUCGGCCGACACAGGGCUCGGGAGCAGUGUGGUGAUCGGGGGUCAGGAAACAGAGGUCGAUCUCUUUGAGAGUUCCAUUAUCCAAAGGAAGAGGGUACAAAAGCCACUACGAGUAGCGUGCUCAAAAAAGAGAGAACCUGCAACCAACUCCUGCCAAGAGUGUGGGAAGCGUUUUCUGUCUCGGGGACGGCUGGAGGAUCACCUCCGCAUACACACUGGAGAGAAACCUUUCAAGUGCACCGAUUGUAGCAGGUUCUUCAGGACGUCGGCACUCCUGACCAACCAUAUGAAAAUUCACUCUGAUGUGCGGCCCUUUAGCUGCGACGAGUGCGGCAAAUGCUUUCGGAGAAAGGUUGGCCUUCAGAAUCACCAUCGCGUCCACACGGAUGCUAGACCAUACAAAUGCACCAUAUGUGGAAAGGGCUUCACGCAGGUACAGUACUGCAAACGACACAUGGAUUGUCAUACAAGUGAGAAUACCUAUUUCUGCACUCAUUGUCCGAAGAGCUUCCCAACCCAAUUCCAGCUGUCCUCCCACCAGCGCUGGCACACCACGGACCGCCCGUACGCCUGUGAGCAGUGUGGGUUGCGCUUCUUUAUGCCAAGCUUGUUAAAGAGACACAUGGGCUAUCACAUCGGGAACCGCCAGUUCCUGUGUGCCCAGUGCGGAAGGACCUUUGUCUAUGAGUUUGACCUAAAGAGACACCAAAAAGACCAUGACCCCAGUCCCAAAAUCCCCUGCCCUGUCUGCCAGAAGAUGUUUGGCAACAACAGCCUACUCCAAGCCCACGUACGCAGGCACUCUUCAGAGAAACCUUACAGAUGCGACAUAUGCGACAAGACCUUUAAAGACAGCGGGGGCCUGCGCAUACACAAGCGUGGGCUGCACUCGAACGAACGCCCUUACAGCUGCGACGAGUGUGGGAAGACUUACAAACUACACACGCACCUGAGGGAGCACAAGUUUAAACACACAGGGGAGGGCCACAGCUGUGGCCAGUGUGGAAAAGCCUUCAGGUACCUGCGUCUCCUGAAGUUGCACGAGCGGUCGCACUCCGAGCCAUCUGAGCUCACGCUGCGAAACAGUCACACCAGCCGUCGCAGGAGACAUUCCUCCAAAAGGAGUUGAUUUUCUCACAUGUUCACACCUUUCACUGUGGCUACAGUAAUAUACAACAGUAUUCAACUGUGUCACAAUGUCGUUAGCUGUACGGUCGUUAUGUAUGGCAGCCCAGGGUUCCUCUGUGUUGUCUUAGGAAUGCUGCAUUAUCCCACCAUUCCCCAUUCUGUCAUAUCUCUGUGGUGCAGAGGGGCGACAUGAUGGGGGAUGGUGAGAUAAUUGACUUGAACGGAGAAGAGGGUCUCUGCUGUUCAGGACUGCUGCUCACUGAGUUUAGCUUCCUCCCUCUAUGAUCAGACAUACUGGGACUAUACAAACCCUUAUUACAUGAUACACAGCAUAUCAAGUACAGGGUCUAAAAUCGUUUCAAGUCAUGGAAUGUCAUACAUGGUCUAUUUUGGGAGGUAGCAGCAUUGCAGUCCUAACAGCCAUGCAUACAAGCCGGGUUGUGUGUCUGAAGGCUCCCAGAAAAUCUGUGGACCGGCAAUUGAUAAAGUGAAUCUGUGGAACUAUGUUCAGUGAGGUGUGUUAGGUAAACCAGUGAAACAUCCGCCACUGUCAGGUACAGUAUGCUCUCAAGAGAACAUGGUUUUAAUCUGUCGACUUGGAUCAGGAUUGGGGAUCAAUUACUUUUUAAUUCAGGAUCUUCCUAUUAGAAAAUAAUUUCAGUUACUCCAACCCUGAUUUGGGUAGUGAUUCAGAUUCAGUAUUUAAUAGUCACAUGUACAGGGUUGCAGGUGUGAUUGCGGAUACAGUGAAAAUCUUAGGGUCCAAACUUCAACAGAGUGUAGUUCUUCAAUUUGUGCUUCUUGUUCUAUGUUCUUG
This is an RNA transcript of Oncorhynchus kisutch (coho salmon), 7179 nucleotides long. It is a transcript of the gene named zinc finger protein 184, with no coding region annotated. The record is from RefSeq and is a predicted model, not a curated record. Lineage: Eukaryota; Metazoa; Chordata; Actinopteri; Salmoniformes; Salmonidae. The transcript has 11 exons.